AAACCAUGGAGUUGUAUAUAUAACUGCUCCAAGUGCUACCCAUAGCAUAUCUUUGAUACUAAAACUCUGCUCUUCAAUUUCGUUAAUACUGCUACUACUGAAAUGGAUUCUAUUUUGACCUCCAAAAGUGGACACAGUGUAGCUUCGAUAAAAUUGCAAGGAAGUCUAGUUUUAUUUGUUGAUGGACAACAGCUAUCCUCGCAACUCUCAAAAUUACAAGUUGAUGACUCGGUGUUAUUUGAGCAGCAAGGCAAAAUAUUAUUGCUGGCGGCAGUGACAGGAACCCUCUCUCUGGCAUAGAAUAUAGCCUAGAUCUCUACGGCAUAGAUCCAACUCAGAAUACUCUAAAUUGGUUGGAUUCAAAACCACUACUUGCAGCUGCUACGUUAACUUCCUUCUACAGUGGGAAUGCAAUUACUGGAAAAACAAUAGCUGUGGUUAUGCAAGAAAACUAUUACUGCCCCACUGUUUAUACAGUACUUGGCUCCGAGUUGAGAUUCUUCUCUGAUCUUGCUACUCCAAAAGUGAACUGGGCUAUAUACAUCAGCAUACCCAAUGAGGCCUUCUCAGAAGUCAAAGAUCACUAUCUUCUGGUUGGCAAAGGUGAUUCUUCGAAGCUUCUGUACCUUGAAAUGCGUGGCUUAACACAUGAAGCCUUGGACCGCACAUGUCAUGUGGAUGAUUUCAAAUAUCCAGAAUUGAUACCGCGAGUGUAAUAAAAAUUUUAAAAAUUUUAUUAAAACAUUAAGUAUAA
This is a non-coding RNA of Penaeus vannamei (Pacific white shrimp), 754 nucleotides long. The record is from RefSeq and is a predicted model, not a curated record. Lineage: Eukaryota; Metazoa; Arthropoda; Malacostraca; Decapoda; Penaeidae.